RNAcentral lists this unclassified non-coding RNA (383 nucleotides) under uncultured Ignavibacteria bacterium. Its description in RNAcentral is "contains 16S-23S intergenic spacer region". Lineage: Bacteria; Pseudomonadati; Ignavibacteriota; Ignavibacteria. The record is from RNAcentral.
UCACUACUUGCGUAGGCAGUCUCCUUAAAGUGCCCAGCUUUACCUGAUGGCAACUAAGGACAAGGGUUGCGCUCGUUGCGGGACUUAACCCAACACCUCACGGCACGAGCUGACGACAGCCAUGCAGCACCUGUACAAGCUCCCUGGCAAAGCCAGGGCACAGGCUUUCACCUGAUGAUAACUUGCUUUUCAAGCCUAGGUAAGGUUCUUCGCGUUGCAUCGAAUUAAACCACAUGCUCCACUGCUUGUGCGGGCCCCCGUCAAUUCCUUUGAGUUUCAACCUUGCGAUCGUACUUCCCAGGUGGAAUACUUAAUGCGUUAGCUUGGAUACUGAUCCUUAAAAGGACCAACAUCUAGUAUUCAUCGUUUAGGGCGUGGACUAC